RNAcentral lists this ribosomal RNA (492 nucleotides) under uncultured bacterium. Its description in RNAcentral is "partial 16S ribosomal RNA". It matches the Rfam family "Bacterial small subunit ribosomal RNA", at positions 29 to 507 of the family's 1533-position model. The record is from RNAcentral.
AGUGAACGCUGGCGGUAGGCCUAACACAUGCAAGUCGAACGGCAGCACAGUAAGAGCUUGCUCUUACGGGUGGCGAGUGGCGGACGGGUGAGGAAUACAUCGGAAUCUACUUUUUCGUGGGGGAUAACGUAGGGAAACUUACGCUAAUACCGCAUACGACCUACGGGUGAAAGCAGGGGAUCUUCGGACCUUGCGCGAUUGAAUGAGCCGAUGUCGGAUUAGCUAGUUGGCGGGGUAAAGGCCCACCAAGGCGACGAUCCGUAGCUGGUCUGAGAGGAUGAUCAGCCACACUGGAACUGAGACACGGUCCAGACUCCUACGGGAGGCAGCAGUGGGGAAUAUUGGACAAUGGGCGCAAGCCUGAUCCAGCCAUACCGCGUGGGGGAAGAAGGCCUUCGGGUUGUAAAGCCCUUUUGUUGGGAAAGAAAAGCAGCAGGUUAAUACCCCGCUGUUCUGACGGUACCAAAAGAAUAAGCACCGGCUAACUUCGUG